RNAcentral lists this ribosomal RNA (429 nucleotides) under uncultured bacterium. RNAcentral's name for it is "bacterial SSU rRNA". It matches the Rfam family "Bacterial small subunit ribosomal RNA", at positions 28 to 454 of the family's 1533-position model. The record is from RNAcentral.
GACGAACGCUGGCGGCGUGCCUAAUACAUGCAAGUCAACUGAAGCAGUUGUAGCAAUAUGACUGCGGAGGUGGCGCACGGGUGAGUAACACGUAGGUAAUCUGCCUUCAGGACUGACACAACUCCGAGAAAUCGGAGCUAAUAUCAGAUAAUGCAGCGGCUUGACAUCAAGACAGUUGUUAAAGCUUCGGCGCCUGGAGAUGAGCCUGCGCCCCAUUAGGUAGUUGGCGGAGUAAAAGCCCACCAAGCCUGCGAUGGGUAGCUGGUCUGAGAGGAUGAUCAGCCACACUGGAACUGAGACACGGUCCAGACUCCUACGGGAGGCAGCAGUAAGGAAUAUUGCUCAAUGGCCGAAAGGCUGAAGCAGCAACGCCGCGUGAGGGAUGAAGACCUUAUGGUUGUAAACCUCUGUAGAAGGGGAGAAAUUCUC